GUUGCUUCUCAACUUUUUGGUCAAGGUCAAGUAUAAUAUCUGUUCUUAUCAAUUUAAUAUCUGAUCCAUCCUCUAUCUGAGGACAAGAGAUUAAAUGGAUUUUUGGAGCAGGGAGAUGGAAUAGGAGCUUGCUCCAUCAACUCCACACAUGGACCUGGUUUGCAGUACCUCCAGGAACGCUGCGCCCUCC
Pongo abelii (Sumatran orangutan) is the source of this 190-nucleotide small nuclear RNA. Its record names the gene U2. It matches the Rfam family "U2 spliceosomal RNA". Rfam says of the family: U2 is a small nuclear RNA (snRNA) component of the spliceosome (involved in pre-mRNA splicing). Complementary binding between U2 snRNA (in an area lying towards the 5' end but 3' to hairpin I) and the branchpoint sequence (BPS) of the intron results the bulging out of an unpaired adenosine, on the BPS, which initiates a nucleophilic attack at the intronic 5' splice site, thus starting the first of two transesterification reactions that mediate splicing. The record is from Ensembl. Lineage: Eukaryota; Metazoa; Chordata; Mammalia; Primates; Hominidae.